UGGACUACUGGGGUUUCUAAUCCUGUUUGCUACCCACGCUUUCGAGCAUGAACGUCAGUGUUAUCCCAGGAGGCUGCCUUCGCCAUCGGUAUUCCUCCACAUCUCUACGCAUUUCACUGCUACACGUGGAAUUCUACCUCCCUCUGACACACUCUAGUCACCCAGUUCAGAACGCAGUUCCCAGGUUGAGCCCGGGGAUUUCACAUCCUGCUUAAGUAACCGUCUGCGCUCGCUUUACGCCCAGUAAUUCCGAUUAACGCUCGCACCCUACGUAUUACCGCGGCGGCUGGCACCA
This 295-nucleotide unclassified non-coding RNA is filed under the name uncultured fungus. RNAcentral's name for it is "sequence contains ITS1". Lineage: Eukaryota; Fungi. The record is from RNAcentral.